Acanthosepion pharaonis is the source of this 107-nucleotide non-coding RNA. The record is from the annotation of a GenBank genome assembly. Lineage: Eukaryota; Metazoa; Mollusca; Cephalopoda; Sepiida; Sepiidae.
GUAAUAUCACGUUGAAACAUCGGUUCCCGUACGAUCACCGAAGUUAAGCAACGUCGAUCCUGGUCAGUAAUUAAAUGGGUGACCAUUUAAGAAUUUCAGGUGCUGUA